RNAcentral lists this transfer RNA (91 nucleotides) under Micavibrio sp. RNAcentral describes it as "tRNA-Ser". It matches the Rfam family "tRNA". Rfam says of the family: Transfer RNA (tRNA) molecules are approximately 80 nucleotides in length. The record is from RNAcentral. Lineage: Bacteria; Pseudomonadati; Bdellovibrionota; Bdellovibrionia; Bdellovibrionales; Pseudobdellovibrionaceae.
GGUGUCGUGGCCGAGUGGCUGAAGGCGCACGCUUGGAAAGCGUGUAUACGGUAAUCCCGUAUCGUGGGUUCGAAUCCCACCGACACCGCCA